This 484-nucleotide ribosomal RNA is filed under the name uncultured bacterium. RNAcentral's name for it is "bacterial SSU rRNA". It matches the Rfam family "Bacterial small subunit ribosomal RNA", at positions 30 to 507 of the family's 1533-position model. The record is from RNAcentral.
AUUGAACGCUGGCGGCAUGCCUUACACAUGCAAGUCGAACGGUAACAGGGAGCUUGCUCCGCUGACGAGUGGCGAACGGGUGAGUAAUGUAUCGGAACGUACCAUUCAGUGGGGGAUAACGUAGCGAAAGUUACGCUAAUACCGCAUAUUCUGUGCGCAGGAAAGCAGGGGAUCGCAAGACCUUGCGCUGAUUGAGCGGCCGAUAUCAGAUUAGCUAGUUGGUGAGGUAAAAGCUCACCAAGGCGACGAUCUGUAGCGGGUCUGAGAGGAUGAUCCGCCACACUGGAACUGAGACACGGUCCAGACUCCUACGGGAGGCAGCAGUGGGGAAUUUUGGACAAUGGGGGAAACCCUGAUCCAGCCAUUCCGCGUGUGCGAUGAAGGCCUUCGGGUUGUAAAGCUCUUUCAGCCGGGAAGAAAAUGCAUGGGUUAAUACCCUGUGCAGAUGACGGUACCGGAAUAAGAAGCACCGGCUAACUACGUG